Long non-coding RNA from Cynoglossus semilaevis (tongue sole), 287 nucleotides. RefSeq lists it as uncharacterized. The transcript is spliced from 3 exons. The record is from RefSeq and is a predicted model, not a curated record. Lineage: Eukaryota; Metazoa; Chordata; Actinopteri; Pleuronectiformes; Cynoglossidae.
UGGUAACAGGCUGAAAACAAUACAACGCAGUAGGCUGCAAACAUGAAGUCAGUGAACCUGUCCUUAGGAAACCCCGUCCUUGUGUCUUCACUAAAAGAAAUGCUAAUUAUAAAAAGUCACACAGCCAUGACUGUGGAGUGGAACAGGUCAGAGGACGUCACAAGAUUUUAAAAGAACACCAUGAAAACCUUCCAAAUGUCAACCUCAGCAGACACAGUGACCACAGGAACUGGAGCAGAACAACAGCCACAGCUGAAACACAGCAUCCUGACAGGACCACACAAACC